Molecule: ribosomal RNA, 515 nt
Filed under: Thysanoessa longicaudata
Lineage: Eukaryota; Metazoa; Arthropoda; Malacostraca; Euphausiacea; Euphausiidae
Description: partial 16S ribosomal RNA
Rfam family: Bacterial large subunit ribosomal RNA
Source: RNAcentral
GUCUUUAUGAAAUAUUUAUAAAGUCUGGCCUGCCCACUGAAUAAUUUAAAGGGCCGCGGUAUCUUGACCGUGCAAAGGUAGCAUAGUCAUUUGUCUUUUAAUUGGAGGCUUGUAUGAAUGGUCGCACAAGAAAUAAUUUGUCUUAAAUAAAUAUAUUGAAUUUAACUUUUAAGUAAAAAGGCUUAAAUAAAUUAAAGUGACGAUAAGACCCUAUAAAACUUUAUAAUUUAAUUUAGAAAAAUGUAUUAGUUAUUUAAAAUUUUUUUGAAUGAAUUUAUUUUAUUGGGGCGAUAAAAAUAAAAAUAGUAACUGUUUUUAAAAUUUUAAUGAUAAUUGUCAGUAAAUAUUUAAUGAUCCUUUAUUAAAGAUUAUAAGAUUAAGUUACUUUAGGGAUAACAGCGUAAUUUUCUUUGAGAGCUCUUAUCUACAAGAAAGAUUGCGACCUCGAUGUUGAAUUAAAAUUUCUUUAAGGUGUAGCAGCUUUAAUAGAAGGUCUGUUCGACCUUUAAAUUUUU